CGGUGAAUACGUUCCCGGGCCUUGUACACACCGCCCGUCACGUCACGAAAGUCGGUAACACCCGAAGCCGGUGGCCUAACCCCUUGUGGGAGGGAGCCGUCUAAGGUGGGACUGGCGAUUGGGACGAAGUCGUAACAAGGUAGCCGUACCGGAAGGUGCGGCUGGAUCACCUCCUUUCUAAGGAG
RNAcentral lists this ribosomal RNA (185 nucleotides) under Motilibacter deserti. Its description in RNAcentral is "partial 16S ribosomal RNA". It matches the Rfam family "Bacterial small subunit ribosomal RNA", at positions 1360 to 1533 of the family's 1533-position model. The record is from RNAcentral. Lineage: Bacteria; Bacillati; Actinomycetota; Actinomycetes; Motilibacterales; Motilibacteraceae.